This 403-nucleotide ribosomal RNA is filed under the name uncultured bacterium. RNAcentral's name for it is "partial 16S ribosomal RNA". It matches the Rfam family "Bacterial small subunit ribosomal RNA", at positions 28 to 526 of the family's 1533-position model. The record is from RNAcentral.
GACGAACGCUGGCGGCGUGCCUAAUACAUGCAAGUCGAACGCAGUGGGGACGGGUGAGUAACACGUGGGUAACCUCCCAUCAGAGGGGAUAACACUUGGAAACAGGUGCUAAACCGAUACUGAUGGAUGGACCCGCGGUGCAUUAGCUAGUUGGUGAGGUAACGGCGGACCAGGGCCACGAUGCAUAGCGGAGCUGAGGUGGUGAGCGGCCAGACUGGGACUGAGACACGGUCCAAGCGCCUACGAGAGGCAGCAGUGGGGAAUAUUGCACAAUGGGCGCAAGCCUGAUGCAGCCAUGCCGCGUGUAUGAAGAAGGCCUUCGGGUUGUAAAGUGCUUUCAGCGGGGAGGCGUUACCCGCAGAAGAAGCACCGGCUAACUCCGUGCCAGCAGCCGCGGUAAUAC